RNAcentral lists this ribosomal RNA (2343 nucleotides) under Campylobacter coli. Its description in RNAcentral is "partial 23S ribosomal RNA". It matches the Rfam family "Bacterial large subunit ribosomal RNA", at positions 744 to 2925 of the family's 2925-position model. Lineage: Bacteria; Pseudomonadati; Campylobacterota; Epsilonproteobacteria; Campylobacterales; Campylobacteraceae. The record is from RNAcentral.
GUUGAAGCUAGUGUAAGAACUAGUGGAGGACUGAACCCAUAGGCGUUGAAAAGCCCCGGGAUGACUUGUGGAUAGGGGUGAAAGGCCAAUCAAACUUCGUGAUAGCUGGUUCUCUCCGAAAUAUAUUUAGGUAUAGCGUUGUGUCGUAAUAUAAGGGGGUAGAGCACUGAAUGGGCUAGGGCAUACACCAAUGUACCAAACCCUAUCAAACUCCGAAUACCUUAUAUGUAAUCACAGCAGUCAGGCGGCGAGUGAUAAAAUCCGUCGUCAAGAGGGAAACAACCCAGACUACCAGCUAAGGUCCCUAAAUCUUACUUAAGUGGAAAACGAUGUGAAGUUACUUAAACAACCAGGAGGUUGGCUUAGAAGCAGCCAUCCUUUAAAGAAAGCGUAAUAGCUCACUGGUCUAGUGAUUUUGCGCGGAAAAUAUAACGGGGCUAAAGUAAGUACCGAAGCUGUAGACUUGCGCACAACUUAGAUUAUUUAAGUUUAGAAUAUGAGAAACUAAGUUAUAUGUUUAGUUAUAUUUUUACUGAUUUUUAUAGAGUAAAGAUAGAAAUAAAACUUAGUAAAAUCAGUAAAAAUAUUCUUAGACUAAAGUUAAGUAGUUUAAGUUGUGUGCAAGUGGUAGGAGAGCGUUCUAUUUGCGUCGAAGGUAUACCGGUAAGGAGUGCUGGAGCGAAUAGAAGUGAGCAUGCAGGCAUGAGUAGCGAUAAUUAAUGUGAGAAUCAUUAACGCCGUAAACCCAAGGUUUCCUACGCGAUGCUCGUCAUCGUAGGGUUAGUCGGGUCCUAAGUCGAGUCCGAAAGGGGUAGACGAUGGCAAAUUGGUUAAUAUUCCAAUACCAACAUUAGUGUGCGAUGGAAGGACGCUUAGGGCUAAGGGGGCUAGCGGAUGGAAGUGCUAGUCUAAGGUCGUAGGAGGUUAUACAGGCAAAUCCGUAUAACAAUACUCCGAGAACUGAAAGGCUUUUUGAAGUCUUCGGAUGGAUAGAAGAACCCCUGAUGCCGUCGAGCCAAGAAAAGUUUCUAAGUUUAGCUAAUGUUGCCCGUACCGUAAACCGACACAGGUGGGUGGGAUGAGUAUUCUAAGGCGCGUGGAAGAACUCUCUUUAAGGAACUCUGCAAAAUAGCACCGUAUCUUCGGUAUAAGGUGUGGUUAGCUUUGUAUUAGGAUUUACUCCGAAAGCAAGGAAACUUACAACAAAGAGUCCCUCCCGACUGUUUACCAAAAACACAGCACUCUGCUAACUCGUAAGAGGAUGUAUAGGGUGUGACGCCUGCCCGGUGCUCGAAGGUUAAUUGAUGGGGUUAGCAUUAGCGAAGCUCUUGAUCGAAGCCCGAGUAAACGGCGGCCGUAACUAUAACGGUCCUAAGGUAGCGAAAUUCCUUGUCGGUUAAAUACCGACCUGCAUGAAUGGCGUAACGAGAUGGGAGCUGUCUCAAAGAGGGAUCCAGUGAAAUUGUAGUGGAGGUGAAAAUUCCUCCUACCCGCGGCAAGACGGAAAGACCCCGUGGACCUUUACUACAGCUUGACACUGCUAUUUGGAUAAGAAUGUGCAGGAUAGGUGGGAGGCUUUGAGUAUAUGACGCCAGUUGUAUAUGAGCCAUUGUUGAGAUACCACUCUUUCUUAUUUGGGUAGCUAACCAGCUUGAGUUAUCCUCAAGUGGGACAAUGUCUGGUGGGUAGUUUGACUGGGGCGGUCGCCUCCCAAAUAAUAACGGAGGCUUACAAAGGUUGGCUCAGAACGGUUGGAAAUCGUUCGUAGAGUAUAAAGGUAUAAGCCAGCUUAACUGCAAGACAUACAAGUCAAGCAGAGACGAAAGUCGGUCUUAGUGAUCCGGUGGUUCUGUGUGGAAGGGCCAUCGCUCAAAGGAUAAAAGGUACCCCGGGGAUAACAGGCUGAUCUCCCCCAAGAGCUCACAUCGACGGGGAGGUUUGGCACCUCGAUGUCGGCUCAUCGCAUCCUGGGGCUGGAGCAGGUCCCAAGGGUAUGGCUGUUCGCCAUUUAAAGCGGUACGCGAGCUGGGUUCAGAACGUCGUGAGACAGUUCGGUCCCUAUCUGCCGUGGGCGUAAGAAGAUUGAAGAGAUUUGACCCUAGUACGAGAGGACCGGGUUGAACAAACCACUGGUGUAGCUGUUGUUCUGCCAAGAGCAUCGCAGCGUAGCUAAGUUUGGAAAGGAUAAACGCUGAAAGCAUCUAAGCGUGAAGCCAACUCUAAGAUGAAUCUUCUCUAAGCUCUCUAGAAGACUACUAGUUUGAUAGGCUGGGUGUGUAAUGGAUGAAAGUCCUUUAGCUGACCAGUACUAAUAGAGCGUUUGGCUUAUCUUUAAUAAAGCAU